This 1460-nucleotide ribosomal RNA is filed under the name Pseudomonas sp. ND8. RNAcentral describes it as "bacterial SSU rRNA". It matches the Rfam family "Bacterial small subunit ribosomal RNA". Lineage: Bacteria; Pseudomonadati; Pseudomonadota; Gammaproteobacteria; Pseudomonadales; Pseudomonadaceae. The record is from RNAcentral.
AUUGAACGCUGGCGGCAGGCCUAACACAUGCAAGUCGAGCGGAUGACGGGAGCUUGCUCCUUGAUUCAGCGGCGGACGGGUGAGUAAUGCCUAGGAAUCUGCCUGGUAGUGGGGGACAACGUUUCGAAAGGAACGCUAAUACCGCAUACGUCCUACGGGAGAAAGCAGGGGACCUUCGGGCCUUGCGCUAUCAGAUGAGCCUAGGUCGGAUUAGCUAGUUGGUGGGGUAAUGGCUCACCAAGGCGACGAUCCGUAACUGGUCUGAGAGGAUGAUCAGUCACACUGGAACUGAGACACGGUCCAGACUCCUACGGGAGGCAGCAGUGGGGAAUAUUGGACAAUGGGCGAAAGCCUGAUCCAGCCAUGCCGCGUGUGUGAAGAAGGUCUUCGGAUUGUAAAGCACUUUAAGUUGGGAGGAAGGGCAGUAAGCUAAUACCUUGCUGUUUUGACGUUACCGACAGAAUAAGCACCGGCUAACUCUGUGCCAGCAGCCGCGGUAAUACAGAGGGUGCAAGCGUUAAUCGGAAUUACUGGGCGUAAAGCGCGCGUAGGUGGUUUGUUAAGUUGGAUGUGAAAGCCCCGGGCUCAACCUGGGAACUGCAUCCAAAACUGGCAAGCUAGAGUACGGUAGAGGGUGGUGGAAUUUCCUGUGUAGCGGUGAAAUGCGUAGAUAUAGGAAGGAACACCAGUGGCGAAGGCGACCACCUGGACUGAUACUGACACUGAGGUGCGAAAGCGUGGGGAGCAAACAGGGAUUAGAUACCCUGGUAGUCCACGCCGUAAACGAUGUCAACUAGCCGUUGGAAUCCUUGAGAUUUUAGUGGCGCAGCUAACGCAUUAAGUUGACCGCCUGGGGAGUACGGCCGCAAGGUUAAAACUCAAAUGAAUUGACGGGGGCCCGCACAAGCGGUGGAGCAUGUGGUUUAAUUCGAAGCAACGCGAAGAACCUUACCAGGCCUUGACAUGCAGAGAACUUUCCAGAGAUGGAUUGGUGCCUUCGGGAACUCUGACACAGGUGCUGCAUGGCUGUCGUCAGCUCGUGUCGUGAGAUGUUGGGUUAAGUCCCGUAACGAGCGCAACCCUUGUCCUUAGUUACCAGCACGUUAUGGUGGGCACUCUAAGGAGACUGCCGGUGACAAACCGGAGGAAGGUGGGGAUGACGUCAAGUCAUCAUGGCCCUUACGGCCUGGGCUACACACGUGCUACAAUGGUCGGUACAGAGGGUUGCCAAGCCGCGAGGUGGAGCUAAUCUCACAAAACCGAUCGUAGUCCGGAUCGCAGUCUGCAACUCGACUGCGUGAAGUCGGAAUCGCUAGUAAUCGCGAAUCAGAAUGUCGCGGUAAAUACGUUCCCGGGCCUUGUACACACCGCCCGUCACACCAUGGGAGUGGGUUGCACCAGAAGUAGCUAGUCUAACCUUCGGGAGGACGGUUACCACGGUGUGAUUCAUGACUGGGGUG